Molecule: ribosomal RNA, 429 nt
Filed under: Chloroflexota bacterium
Lineage: Bacteria; Bacillati; Chloroflexota
Description: Chloroflexi bacterium partial 16S ribosomal RNA
Rfam family: Bacterial small subunit ribosomal RNA
Source: RNAcentral
UGGGGAAUAUUGCACAAUGGGCGCAAGCCUGAUGCAGCCAUGCCGCGUGUAUGAAGAAGGCCUUCGGGUUGUAAAGUACUUUCAGCGGGGAGGAAGGGAGUAAAGUUAAUACCUUUGCUCAUUGACGUUACCCGCAGAAGAAGCACCGGCUAACUCCGUGCCAGCAGCCGCGGUAAUACGGAGGGUGCAAGCGUUAAUCGGAAUUACUGGGCGUAAAGCGCACGCAGGCGGUCUGUCAAGUCGGAUGUGAAAUCCCCGGGCUCAACCUGGGAACUGCAUUCGAAACUGGCAGACUAGAGUCUUGUAGAGGGGGGUAGAAUUCCAGGUGUAGCGGUGAAAUGCGUAGAGAUCUGGAGGAAUACCAGUGGCGAAGGCGGCCCCCUGGACAAAGACUGACGCUCAGGUGCGAAAGCGUGGGGAGCAAACAGG